GUGGCUAAUCAUACUUUUGAAGAGAGAGCAGUGGAGAGAGGCCAUGCAUGUAUGUUCUUCCUUUAUAUUCUUUGUAAGAUAAGUAAGUAGAUUCAACAUUAUGUAUGUCUUUAAUGUCUUCAUUUCUAUAUAUUCUGAUUUAAGGUUUUGGGUGAAAGUUGUGUGGUUUCGAUAUUGCCUUGUAUAUAUUUGAUGGAUCAUAUUUUAUUUUAAGAUAAAUGAGGAGUCUGAAAUAUUCAAUCUGCAAUGUCACCCGUAUGCAUCUUCAACUCCUUGCAUUUCUCAAAUAUAAUAGAUUAAUCUAAAUCAUGAUCAACGCCUAGUUUUGUACUUUUAUGCUUAAUAAUGUCAAUUUUUAUGGUUUUGGCUUUUUAUUUUACAUCUCUAAUCUAUCCAACUUUUAUUUACUUUUUCUAUUAGAUGUGUGGUAGUAAAAUAUAGUUGCAUUCAAGAGACAUUAAUGCAUCAAAGUUGUUGGACGUGCAGGUCAUGAAUUAUUAUUUGAUUCGUUCAGAAGAAUAAAGUAUAGUUAAAGCCAAAAAUUUAACAGUAAUUCAGAUUAUGAAAUAUUUUAGGGAAACCUUAGUAACUGAAGGCAAGUUUAGUGGGCUUUAGUUGAUCGGCCACUCAGUAAUUUUGCAGAGCUGAAGGGGAAAAAAUCUGAUGUAUAACUUGGGCUGAUGACUGAGAGGGUCCACUUGAGAUAAGUAAGGUGACCCUCUUGAAUCUGUUAUAAUGAAGGAUAUCGAAUUUGGGUUUGAUUCUGUGGAUUCAUUCCAUUCUUUUAGGAGGUAAAUUUAUCCAAUCAAAGUUAUAUUUAUAUAUAUUGGUUGGACGCAAUUAGCUAAACAAAUCAAAAUGAGUUUAAAUUGUGGUUCGCAAGUAUGUUUAAGUUAUUAAUCUCUCUUUUUCAUAGAUAUGAAAGAAGAGUGGGACCAAUGUAAAACAGAAGGGCAUGGGCUUGGGCCGAGCAUGAGAAAAAGGAUGAUUAAAAGGUGAAUAAUCGCAGUGUGGCAAGUAGCUAUAGAUUGUGACAUAUCAUAUUCCUUCUUUUUUAUUCUUAACUUUAGGAGGAUUAUACCCUUCAAUGGUGGCAAUCGGCAACUUCAAAACAUUGAAUGAAAAGGAAUGUAAAACGUAUCAAACUAAGUGCAUAUGUAUCUGUCAAGAUCCGUUUUAUGCGUCUAUUCUAUUCUAGAGUUAUGUUGCUCUGAUACCCAAUACAAUACAUGUAAGUUUUUUUGAAAUCAUAUCCAUUUAAACUGAAUUUUCCUAUGGAACCAGAAACGUAUUAGAAACUGGCACUUAUUUUAGACAUGAAUACAAGGAUGACACCUACAUACCAGGAACAAUACAUAACGAAUAUCUGUAUCUAUUCUUGUAAAACUUUCAACUAUAUGACAAUGUGGUUUUGUUCCUAAAUGCAGUUGGGAUUAGCUUUAAGGCACUUCAAUUCGUAGCUGUGCAUUUUGAAAAUGAGAAACCCCACAUCCAGAUGGUAGCAGGUAAAAACAGUUUGCGAUGGUUAAACUAUCAACUUAAAUCUAUUUCAUGAAACCAGGCAAACACAAAAAGAGUAUACAUCUUUUCAAAAACCCAGAAAGAAAUCAGUAAAAAGAAGCCAAAUUUAACAAACAAACACCUCAAUUAACAGCAUCACACCUACGCCUAAUCUCUCCUCUUCUCCCAGUUUUGAUCCUAUAAACACUAAGCUUCUGCAUAGCUCUAGCAAAAUCUCGAAAGAACUUGUUUUGAUCCUUUGCAUACAGUUCCACAAAAGGCUUUGUUCUAGGAUCAUUAUACAACCCAUGAUCUGAUUCCAAUAGCCCUAAACCCUUUGGUAGAUUCUGAUAAUACAAGUUGUCAAACUUGUUGGGACUCAUUAUAUCGUUGAAAACAGACAAAGUCGGGUUCUUUGGGUAACCUGAACAAGCUUGUUUCAAUGCUUGAGCAAACCUUGGAUUGUAAUGGGUAUUGUUCCCAAGAUUAGAGCUGAACUCUUUGCAAUGUGAAAACCCAAUUGUGUGUGCCCCACUUAAGGCCACCAUUUCUUGAACAUUGAACCCACUUGCCGCAAAAAGGUUGAUUAUCUGUGACAUGCUCAUGGUGGGUUUUGGUAGUUUCCCUUCUAUUGAAGAAGCUUGAGAAGAUCUCGAAUCUUUCCGACCCAAAAAUACUUUAUAGUAGGGGCCGCCGAGCAUGGUCAC
Molecule: long non-coding RNA, 2207 nt
Filed under: Gossypium barbadense (sea-island cotton)
Lineage: Eukaryota; Viridiplantae; Streptophyta; Magnoliopsida; Malvales; Malvaceae
Description: long non-coding RNA (GBAR_LNC015348)
Source: RNAcentral